CGUCAAAUCAGCACGGCCCUUACGUCUAGGGCGACACACGUGCUACAAUGGGCGGUACAGAGGGCAGCUACACUGCGAAGUGAUGCUAAUCUCAAAAGCCGUUCUCAGUUCGGAUUGGAGUCUGCAACCCGACUCCAUGAAGUUGGAUUCGCUAGUAAUCGCGCAUCAGCCAUGGCGCGGUGAAUACGUUCCCGGGCCUU
This 200-nucleotide ribosomal RNA is filed under the name uncultured prokaryote. Its description in RNAcentral is "partial 16S ribosomal RNA". It matches the Rfam family "Bacterial small subunit ribosomal RNA", at positions 1183 to 1382 of the family's 1533-position model. The record is from RNAcentral.